RNAcentral lists this ribosomal RNA (483 nucleotides) under uncultured bacterium. RNAcentral's name for it is "partial 16S ribosomal RNA". It matches the Rfam family "Bacterial small subunit ribosomal RNA", at positions 28 to 523 of the family's 1533-position model. The record is from RNAcentral.
GACGAACGCUGGCGGCGUGCUCUACACAUGCAAGUCGAACGGUGAAGGUGGAGCUUGCUCCGCCGGAUCAGUGGCGAACGGGUGAGUAACACGUGGGCAACCUGCCCCUAACUUUGGGAUAACUACUCGAAAGAGUAGCUAAUACCGGAUAUGAAGUCUGUAGGCAUCUACGGAUUUGGAAAGUUUUUCGGUUAGGGAUGGGCCCGCGGCCUAUCAGCUUGUUGGUGGGGUAGUGGCUCACCAAGGCGACGACGGGUAGCCGGCCUGAGAGGGCGACCGGCCACACUGGGACUGAGACACGGCCCAGACUCCUACGGGAGGCAGCAGUGGGGAAUAUUGCGCAAUGGGCGAAAGCCUGACGCAGCAACGCCGCGUGCGGGAUGAAGGCCUUCGGGUUGUAAACCGCUUUCAGCAGGGAAGAAGCGAAAGUGACGGUACCUGCAGAAGAAGCACCGGCUAACUACGUGCCAGCCGCCGCCGUAA